AUAUUCAUACCUAUGUUUAAGACUUGAUAACUCUUUAUCCAUGAUCCAUGAGAUGUGAUCAUCAGUCUACAAACAUAAUAGUCUUAAUGCUUUAAUGUUAUUCCACUUCACACUAAAGCUCACUCCUAAUAUUCAUACCUAUGUUUAAGACUUGAUAACUCUUUAUCCAUGAUCCAUGAGAUGUGAUCAUCAGUCUACAAACAUAAUAGUCUUAAUGCUUUAAUGUUAUUCCAC
This 234-nucleotide long non-coding RNA is filed under the name Lathyrus oleraceus (garden pea). Its description in RNAcentral is "Pisum sativum (pea) long non-coding RNA (PSAT_LNC031157)". Lineage: Eukaryota; Viridiplantae; Streptophyta; Magnoliopsida; Fabales; Fabaceae. The record is from RNAcentral.